Molecule: long non-coding RNA, 2719 nt
Organism: Dermochelys coriacea (leatherback sea turtle)
Lineage: Eukaryota; Metazoa; Chordata; Testudines; Dermochelyidae
Exons: 3
Source: RefSeq, a predicted model, not a curated record
GACUUGAAUACAUCUAACUUAUUUAAAUAUGCUUGUUUUUCCCUAUUUUUCUUUCCCCUUCAUUGUUAAUAUUAAAUGUGUUGAGUAUCUGAACUCCAUGAAUCUUUUUAGUGAUGACUGAAGAAAAAUAGGCAUUAAACACUUGAGCUUUCUUGAUGUCACCCAUUAUUAGCUCUGGUUCCCUGGUAAAUAGAGGACUUACACUUUCCUUCCUUCCUUCUUGCUCGUGCUUCUAAUGAAUUUAAAGAAUCUCUUCUUAUUGCCUUUUAUGUUCCUUGCUAGAUGUAACUCAUUUUGUCCCUUAGCCUUUCUGGUUUUGUUCCUGCAUGCAUGCUCUAUUAUUUUAUAUUCCUCCUUAGCAGUUUGUCCAUGUUUCCACUUUUUGUAGGAUUCCUUUUUGAUUUUCAGGUAAUUUAAAGAGCUCCUAAUAGAGCCACAUUGAUCUGUUACUAUUCUUCCUCUCUUUCCUUCACAUUGGGAUAGCUGGCAGUUGUGCCUUUAAUAUUGUUUUCUUGAGAAACUGCCCUCUCUCCUGUACUCCUUUUCCUCUUAGAUUUUCUUCACAUACCUGUCUGUUUUCUGAGUUUGUUAAAAUCUGAUUUUUUAAAAACACGUUAUUCUUAGUCUGCUGCUUUCAUUCUUUCUUUGCCUUAGAAUCAUGAAAUCUGUCAUUUCAAGAUCACGAUCACCCAAAUUACCUUUCUCCUUCAGAUUCGCUACCAAUUCCUCCCUGUUGGUUAGAAUCAAGUCUAAAAUGACUAUUUUCCCUGGUUAUUGCCUCCACUUCCUGGAACAAAAAAAUGUCUUGAAUACAUUCCAAAAGCUUCUUGGAAAUUUUAUGUUUUGCUGUAUUAUUUUACCAACAGAUACCUGGGAAGUUAAACUCCGCCAUUACUACUAGGUCUUGUGUUUUGGGUAUUUGUGGUGUUUGUCAUUCACAUCCUCUUUCUGAUUUGGUGGUCUAUAAUAGACCCAUACCCUGUUUUUUACCCCUUUUAUGUUUUCCCUUGGACUUUCGGCUGGUCUGCAUCCAGUCUCCUUCUGGGCCUCAGAACAAGUGUAUGCAUUCUUGAUAUAUAAUGCAACAUCUCCUCCCUUUUUACCUUGCCUGUCCUUCCUGAACAAACUAUACCAAUACUCCAGGCAUGAGACUUGUCCCACCAAGUCUCUGUGAUGCCAAUUAAGUCAUAAUUGAGCUUAUGUACUAAUACUUCCAGUCUCCUUUCAUUUGUGUAUAGACUUCUAAGAUGUUGGGCAGAUUUCCCCCACUGAUUUCCUUCUUGUUGCUCCUAUGACCCUAUUCUAAUUGUCCAUGUCCCCUCCAACAUUUCUGUUAAGGUCAUCUUUUUUAUACUUGCCUGUGGGCUUUUGUCACCUGCCCCGUUUAAAGCCCUCCUCACUAGAUUGGCGAGUCCGUGCGUGACGAUGCUCUUCCCCUUCUUUGUCAGAUGGACCCCAUCCGCUUUGACCUACUGCUGUUUUUUAUGGAACUUUUAGUGUGUAAUAGCAGGGUCCACAUGACAAUUUAGUGUGAAGCAGGCUAGUGCACUGUACGUUCAGACCCUAAGUCUUCCUGUGGAUAGGCCCUUAGAUAUAGAAUUGUGUUAGAGCUUCUCUAAGAGAAAAUACAUUGUUAGAAAGCGUGUUAACAAACAUAAUGUUAAACAGUAUGGCUUUAGUCCUUAGUGUGGACAAGGAUAGUCAUGUUUGAAAACCCUAGCUAAUCCUAACUAAUACAUUUUAAAAAACAACUGCCCUUGUCCAAUGUCCCAUACUGUUUUAACUUGAGUGUCCCAACUAGCCUCUGAAGUUAUGUCUUGAUGGAAUAAAGCAGAUGAGUUGACACAUUUGCUGCUGCUGUUUGAGAUGGUUUUCUGCAAGGCUGUUUCAGUAUAGUUAGUCCCAUGUGCUCAAAAAUCAAGAGCCAGGCCUCUCAAAAUCAUGAGAUUGGCUUUAAAAAUGAGAUAUUUUAAAAUAAGACUACAUUUUAGAUACCUUUUAUUUACUUUCUGGUUUUUGAACCUUUAGGUUACACUUGGGUCACAUUCUCAAACUUUUCUCUGCAAGCUUGUGAAUAGAAGAUUACUUUUAAACAAAACUUGAAAGCUGAGCUUCUCAUGUAUUCAUCUGACUUUAGAAGCUGAGGCUUUAAGAAAUGCAGUAUAUCGAAUAUCUUGAAGCUCGUGAUGAAAUUGAAAGAUCUGGCGAAGCUAUUCAUUUUUGUUUAUAUCUUUGAAAUAAACAAGGAAAUUGAAAUCAAGCGUAUGUUAAUGUAACUUUAAGGUGUAAACUGUGCAAAGGGGCAUAUGUGUUGCCUUACCCAGGAGGAGCUUUUGGGGCAGACACAACUGCUUUUGGAAGAACUGGGGGAGUUCAGAUUGGAUUGGUUCCUGCUGCACCCUUUGAAAGGAUGGCUGGCACAGUAGGUAAGUCUCCCUCCUUGCAUGCUCAUGGAGGGCUUGUCACAAUCUAUUUGCAGCCCAAAUAAUAAUCAAGAAUACUUACAUAUAUGCAGUGUGCUUGUUACCAUUGCUACCAGCAGUACCAUAACAUUUUAAUUUCUUGACUUGAUUGUCUAGAUUUGCAACCUUAAUGUUGCAUGAAUGUUUCACCUUUUUCACAUUAAAUAGAAAUACAGAUGUGGUUUUAUUUUCCAUGUAUGUACAUGCUAAAUUUGUAUCUGUUCCUUUUUCUAUAAUUUUUAAAUGAUAAAGCUCAA